Molecule: non-coding RNA, 1412 nt
Organism: Hydra vulgaris (swiftwater hydra)
Lineage: Eukaryota; Metazoa; Cnidaria; Hydrozoa; Anthoathecata; Hydridae
Source: RefSeq, a predicted model, not a curated record
AGUUGACUUCUACUCAAUUAAGGUAGGAUUAGUUGACUUCUACUCAAUUAAGGUAGGAUUAGUUGACUUCUACUCAAUUAAGGUAGGAUUUAAUUUCAUUGCAAAAUAUGAUUUAACUCUUAGAUAAUAACUUAUUGCUGUUUUGCACCGCUGUUUGUUUAUUGCUGUUUUGCACCGCUGUUUGUUUAUUGCUGUUUUGCACCGCUGUUUGUUUAUUGCUGUUUUGCACCGCUGUUUGUUUACAGUAAUAACUUUAGUUAUACCAUAAUGUUAUUGCGAUAAUUUGUUGUGUGCCUCUGUUAACUACAUUUAAAGUGCUUAUAGAAAUAGUGUAUAACUCUACUAUAAUAUGACUGUUUUACUAUUUCUUAAAACCCACAAAAUAAACCUAAAUCUAAACAAACAUAUCAAUAUUGUAUAUGCAAUUGUGUGUCAUUAAUAGAACGAUUUAUUUAAUAGAAUAACAAACUAAAGUUUCUAACUGUUACUAUUGUUUAAAAAUUAAUACUAAUUUUUUGUUAUCAUUUUUGUAAUUGAUGUUGAUUAUUUUAUUUUCAUCAUUGUUAUUUGUAUCAUUAAUAUUAAUAGCUGGUAUUUACUAAAAUUAUUCGUAAAUGGCCGUUAUAAGAUUUUUUUUGUCAAAAUAUAUAGUUUGGUUGACAAAAGUCAACCAGUUUGGAAGGUGCAAUUUUGAAAAAAGUUACAUUAUUUUCUUAAAAUAAAAUGGAUGAAGUGAAUGAUGAAAGAGAAGAACAAGAUUUUCUCAAUCUUAAUAAUUACUUAACUAAAGGGGUUUAUCGCAACAUUUGUACUCCCAAUGAAAUGAGAAUUAUCAGAAGAAAAUCAAACAAGUAUAAUCAUUUUUUAAGGUAUUUCCGGACGUAGAAGAAGACACUGAAAAAGCGACUACGCCAAGAACCUCUAUUGACUGUCACGGUUUCGAUCUUGUGCUGUUUCUGCUUUCUAUCAACACCGUAACCAAUUGAGAGAUGGUCCAGAGCCGAAAUAAGAACAGAUACUACACUUAAUCUUAGCCGAGAAGCAAUGUUAGCGUUAUUAUGUAAGAUGAUAGCGUUAUUAUGCAAGAUGAUGCAAGAAUUUUAGAAGAUAAGGGAUCGUCCAUUUAUUUAUCAUCAUAUGCCAUUGUGCGGAGAGAAAUCGAAAGAUAAGGUAAAGUGGAAGAGUAGGAUGUUUAAAAAAGAUUACAAAAAAUUUUUAUUUAAAGGAAGAAAUUUAUAAUAAAAUAACAGAAACAAUUAGAGGACUUUAGCACAAAAAACACAUUACGUACGCUAUAGAAAAACAUUUAAAUAAGGAAAUUAUAAAUGAUAAAAUAAAGGCUGGCAGUGAUUAUUAAAUCAUAAUUAAUAAUAUUAUGUUGUAAAAAUAAGAAUUUGUAGAGAAAUAAAAAA